UACGUAGGUGGCAAGCGUUGUCCGGAUUUAUUGGGUUUAAAGGGUGCGUAGGCGGUCGAUUAAGUCAGUGGUGAAAUACUUCAGCUUAACUGGAGAGGUGCCAUUGAUACUGGUUGACUUGAGUACUGAUGAGGUAGGCGGAAUGGACGGUGUAGCGGUGAAAUGCUUAGAUAUCGUCCAGAACACCGAUAGCGAAGGCAGCUUACUAAGGAGUAACUGACGCUGAGGCACGAAAGUGUGGGGAUCAAACAGG
This 253-nucleotide ribosomal RNA is filed under the name uncultured bacterium. Its description in RNAcentral is "partial 16S ribosomal RNA". It matches the Rfam family "Bacterial small subunit ribosomal RNA", at positions 524 to 776 of the family's 1533-position model. The record is from RNAcentral.